AGAGUUUGAUCCUGGCUCAGGACGAACGCUGGCGGCGUGCUUAACACAUGCAAGUCGAGCGGAAAGGCCCUUCGGGGUACUCGAGCGGCGAACGGGUGAGUAACACGUGAGCAACCUGCCCCUGGCUCUGGGAUAGCUCCGGGAAACCGGGAUUAAUACCGGAUAUGACUGCGCCCCGCAUGGGGGGUGGUGGAAAGGUU
RNAcentral lists this ribosomal RNA (200 nucleotides) under uncultured bacterium. RNAcentral's name for it is "partial 16S ribosomal RNA". It matches the Rfam family "Bacterial small subunit ribosomal RNA", at positions 8 to 210 of the family's 1533-position model. The record is from RNAcentral.